AGUCGGAAUCGCUAGUAAUCGCAGGUCAGAAUACUGCGGUGAAUACGUUCCCGGGCCUUGUACACACCGCCCGUCACACCAUGGGAGUGGGAUGCAAAAGAAGUAGUUAGUCUAACCUUCGGGAGGACGAUUACCACUUUGUGUUUCAUGACUGGGGUGAAGUCGUAACAAGGUAACCCUAGGGGAACCUGGGGU
Molecule: ribosomal RNA, 195 nt
Filed under: uncultured gamma proteobacterium CHAB-VI-16
Lineage: Bacteria; Pseudomonadati; Pseudomonadota; Gammaproteobacteria
Description: partial 16S ribosomal RNA
Rfam family: Bacterial small subunit ribosomal RNA
Source: RNAcentral